Molecule: long non-coding RNA, 333 nt
Organism: Hevea brasiliensis (rubber tree)
Lineage: Eukaryota; Viridiplantae; Streptophyta; Magnoliopsida; Malpighiales; Euphorbiaceae
Exons: 2
Source: RefSeq, a predicted model, not a curated record
CCGGGACAACCUUCUUCCUUCGCCCAGCCGCCACAGUGAUUGUCGUCAAGUCUGCCACAGGAGGAUAUUUUGUUCUGGGUUAACCUGCUUUUCUACCUCGCAGGUUGUUUAUCAAUAUUUGUGUAAUUUUAUUUACUCCUAGAAUUUCCGCAUGUGUUAGCAGUAAUUAUUUGAAUUUGGUCUGUAAUAUUAUAUUCAUGUUGGACCUGUAAACUUAAUAUUUUAAGUCUGUUUUGAUGGAUUGGAUGAGGGAGCUGAGCUCCCAUUUAUUAUUAUGUUGAUGAGUAUGUGGAGGGUGAGCUGAGCUCCCCAAUGGAUUGUUUAUUGUGUUUA